UACGUAGGGUGCGAGCGUUGUCCGGAAUUAUUGGGCGUAAAGAGCUCGUAGGCGGUGUGUCACGUCGUUCGUGAAAACCUGCAGCUUAACUGUGGGCGUGCGGUCGAUACGGGCAUCACUGGAGUUCGGCAGGGGAGACUGGAAUUCCUGGUGUAGCGGUGAGAUGCGCAGAUAUCAGGAGGAACACCGGUGGCGAAGGCGGGUCUCUGGGCCGAUACUGACGCUGAGGAGCGAAAGCGUGGGGAGCAAACAGG
RNAcentral lists this ribosomal RNA (254 nucleotides) under uncultured bacterium. RNAcentral's name for it is "partial 16S ribosomal RNA". It matches the Rfam family "Bacterial small subunit ribosomal RNA", at positions 524 to 776 of the family's 1533-position model. The record is from RNAcentral.